AGGUGGAGGAGCAAUGAUGGAAAGUGAGAAAGCAGCUGCUGCUUUCUCACUUUCCAUAAACUUUUCUCUCA
Molecule: microRNA precursor, 71 nt
Filed under: Trypanosoma congolense IL3000
Lineage: Eukaryota; Euglenozoa; Kinetoplastea; Trypanosomatida; Trypanosomatidae
Source: RNAcentral